CAGCUCUUGACAUCCUUAGACCGCCCUAGAGAUAGGGUUUCGCCUUCGGGGCCAAAGAGACAGGCGCUGCAUGGCUGUCGUCAGCUCGUGUUGUGAAAUGUUGGGUUAAGUCCCGUAACGAGCGCAACCCUUAUUGUUAGUUGCCAGCAUUCAGUUGGGCACUCUAGCAAGACUGCCGGUGACAAACCGGAGGAAGGCGGGGAUGACGUCAAAUCAUCAUGCCCCUUAUGACCUGGGCUACACACGUGCUACAAUGGGAAGUACAACGAGCGCGCCAAGCCGCAAGGCCGAGCGAAUCUCUGAAAGCUUCUCUCAGUUCGGAUUGCAGGCUGCAACUCGCCUGCAUGAAGCCGGAAUCGCUAGUAAUCGCGGAUCAGCAUGCCGCGGUGAAUCCGUUCCCGGGCC
This 405-nucleotide ribosomal RNA is filed under the name uncultured Tetragenococcus sp. RNAcentral's name for it is "bacterial SSU rRNA". It matches the Rfam family "Bacterial small subunit ribosomal RNA", at positions 975 to 1380 of the family's 1533-position model. Lineage: Bacteria; Bacillati; Bacillota; Bacilli; Lactobacillales; Enterococcaceae. The record is from RNAcentral.